CCUUGGGGGGGCCACCUGGGGGAUAUUUGCCACAUGGGGCCAACCCGAUAUCAACCAACCCCGGGGGUGGAGAGAGGCCUUUGGGUUUAAAAUCCUUUUCAGCGGGGAGAAAGGCAGUAAAGUUAAUCCCUUUGGGCAUGGCCGUUCCCCACAAAAAAACCCCCGGUUAAUUCCGGCCCCCCAACCCGGGUAAUUCGGGGGGGCCAAAGUUUUUUUGGAUUUCUUGGGGUUAAAAGCCAGUACGGGGGUUUGUUAAUUCAGAUGUGAAAUCCCCGGGCUCAACCUGGGAACUCCCUUUGAUACUGGCAUGCUUGAAUUUUGUAGGAGGGGGUAGAAUUCCAGUGGUAGCGAUGAAAUGGGUAGGGAUUGGGGGGGAAACCGGUGGGAAAGGCGGCCCCCUGGCCGACGCUGGCCCUUUGAGUCGGAAAGGUUGGGGAGCAAACCGGUUUAGAUUCCCUGGUAGUCCCCCCCGUAAACGAUGUCAACUUAGAGGUUGUGCCCUUGAGGCUUCAGUACCGCAGCUAACGCGUAAGUUGACCGCCUGGAGAU
This 549-nucleotide ribosomal RNA is filed under the name uncultured bacterium. RNAcentral describes it as "partial 16S ribosomal RNA". It matches the Rfam family "Bacterial small subunit ribosomal RNA", at positions 338 to 880 of the family's 1533-position model. The record is from RNAcentral.